RNAcentral lists this ribosomal RNA (715 nucleotides) under uncultured Actinomycetes bacterium. RNAcentral describes it as "bacterial SSU rRNA". It matches the Rfam family "Bacterial small subunit ribosomal RNA", at positions 70 to 799 of the family's 1533-position model. The record is from RNAcentral. Lineage: Bacteria; Bacillati; Actinomycetota; Actinomycetes.
AAGGCCCUGCUUGCAGGGUACUCGAGUGGCGAACGGGUGAGUAACACGUGGGUGAUCUGCCCUGCACUUCGGGAUAAGCCUGGGAAACUGGGUCUAAUACCGGAUAGGAGCCAUUUUUAGUGUGAUGGUUGGAAAGUUUUUUCGGUGUAGGAUGAGCUCGCGGCCUAUCAGCUUGUUGGUGGGGUAAUGGCCUACCAAGGCGGCGACGGGUAGCCGGCCUGAGAGGGUGGACGGCCACAUUGGGACUGAGAUACGGCCCAGACUCCUACGGGAGGCAGCAGUGGGGAAUAUUGCACAAUGGGCGCAAGCCUGAUGCAGCGACGCCGCGUGGGGGAUGACGGCCUUCGGGUUGUAAACUCCUUUCGCUAGGGACGAAGCUUUUUGUGACGGUACCUAGAUAAGAAGCACCGGCUAACUACGUGCCAGCAGCCGCGGUAAUACGUAGGGUGCGAGCGUUGUCCGGAAUUACUGGGCGUAAAGGGCUCGUAGGUGGUUUGUCGCGUCGUCUGUGAAAUUCCGGGGCUUAACUCCGGGCGUGCAGGCGAUACGGGCAUAACUUGAGUACUGUAGGGGUAACUGGAAUUCCUGGUGUAGCGGUGAAAUGCGCAGAUAUCAGGAGGAACACCGAUGGCGAAGGCAGGUUACUGGGCAGUUACUGACGCUGAGGAGCGAAAGCAUGGGUAGCGAACAGGAUUAGAUACCCUGGUAGUCCAUG